This 1389-nucleotide ribosomal RNA is filed under the name Nocardia nova. RNAcentral describes it as "bacterial SSU rRNA". It matches the Rfam family "Bacterial small subunit ribosomal RNA". The record is from RNAcentral. Lineage: Bacteria; Bacillati; Actinomycetota; Actinomycetes; Mycobacteriales; Nocardiaceae.
CAUGCAGUCGAGCGGUAAGGCCCUUCGGGGUACACGAGCGGCGAACGGGUGAGUAACACGUGGGUGAUCUGCCUCGUACUCUGGGAUAAGCCUGGGAAACUGGGUCUAAUACCGGAUAUGACCACGAAUCGCAUGGUUUGUGGUGGAAAGAUUUAUCGGUGCGAGAUGGGCCCGCGGCCUAUCAGCUUGUUGGUGGGGUAAUGGCCUACCAAGGCGACGACGGGUAGCCGACCUGAGAGGGUGACCGGCCACACUGGGACUGAGACACGGCCCAGACUCCUACGGGAGGCAGCAGUGGGGAAUAUUGCACAAUGGGCGAAAGCCUGAUGCAGCGACGCCGCGUGAGGGAUGACGGCCUUCGGGUUGUAAACCUCUUUCGACAGGGACGAAGCGCAAGUGACGGUACCUGUAGAAGAAGCACCGGCCAACUACGUGCCAGCAGCCGCGGUAAUACGUAGGGUGCGAGCGUUGUCCGGAAUUACUGGGCGUAAAGAGCUUGUAGGCGGUUCGUCGCGUCGAUUGUGAAAACUUGCAGCUCAACUGCAAGCUUGCAGUCGAUACGGGCGGACUAGAGUACUUCAGGGGAGACUGGAAUUCCUGGUGUAGCGGUGAAAUGCGCAGAUAUCAGGAGGAACACCGGUGGCGAAGGCGGGUCUCUGGGAAGUAACUGACGCUGAGAAGCGAAAGCGUGGGUAGCGAACAGGAUUAGAUACCCUGGUAGUCCACGCCGUAAACGGUGGGUACUAGGUGUGGGUUUCCUUCCACGGGAUCCGUGCCGUAGCUAACGCAUUAAGUACCCCGCCUGGGGAGUACGGCCGCAAGGCUAAAACUCAAAGGAAUUGGACGGGGGGCCCGCACAAGCGGCGGAACAUGUGGAUUAAUUCGAUGCAACGCGAAGAACCUUACCUGGGUUUGACAUACACCAGAAAGCCGUAGAGAUACGGCCCCCCUUGUGGUUGGUGUACAGGUGGUGCAUGGCUGUCGUCAGCUCGUGUCGUGAGAUGUUGGGUUAAGUCCCGCAACGAGCGCAACCCUUAUCUUAUGUUGCCAGCGCGUAAUGGCGGGGACUCGUGAGAGACUGCCGGGGUCAACUCGGAGGAAGGUGGGGACGACGUCAAGUCAUCAUGCCCCUUAUGUCCAGGGCUUCACACAUGCUACAAUGGCCGGUACAGAGGGCUGCGAUACCGUGAGGUGGAGCGAAUCCCUUAAAGCCGGUCUCAGUUCGGAUCGGGGUCUGCAACUCGACCCCGUGAAGUUGGAGUCGCUAGUAAUCGCAGAUCAGCAACGCUGCGGUGAAUACGUUCCCGGGCCUUGUACACACCGCCCGUCACGUCAUGAAAGUCGGUAACACCCGAAGCCGGUGGCCUAACCCUUGUGGAGGGAGCCGUC